CCCUUAGAUGUUCUGGGCCGCACGCGCGCUACACUGUUCGACGCAGCGAGUCUUAACCUUGACCGAAAGGUUUGGGUAAUCUUCAGCAAAGUCGAACGUGAUGGGGAUCGAUCAUUGCAAUUAUUGAUCGUGAACGAGGAAUUCCUAGUAAGUGCAAGUCAUCAGCUUGCGCUGAUUACGUCCCUGCCCUUUGUACACACCGCCCGUCGCUACUACCGAUUGAAUGGUUUAGUGAGAUCUCUGGAUUGACGCUGGCUAGGGGGCGACCCUUGGCCAGACUGUUGAGAAACUGCUCAAACUUGAUCAUUUAGAGGAAGUAAAAGUCGUAAC
This 330-nucleotide ribosomal RNA is filed under the name uncultured eukaryote. RNAcentral's name for it is "partial 18S ribosomal RNA". It matches the Rfam family "Eukaryotic small subunit ribosomal RNA", at positions 1470 to 1795 of the family's 1831-position model. The record is from RNAcentral.